GUUCCUUCUGGUCGUCGUAGC
This 21-nucleotide microRNA is filed under the name Heligmosomoides polygyrus. Its description in RNAcentral is "hpo-miR-10149-3p". Lineage: Eukaryota; Metazoa; Nematoda; Chromadorea; Rhabditida; Heligmosomidae. The record is from miRBase by way of RNAcentral.